RNAcentral lists this ribosomal RNA (372 nucleotides) under uncultured organism. RNAcentral's name for it is "bacterial SSU rRNA". It matches the Rfam family "Bacterial small subunit ribosomal RNA", at positions 526 to 896 of the family's 1533-position model. The record is from RNAcentral.
CGUAGGGGGCUAGCGUUGUCCGGAAUCAUUGGGCGUAAAGAGCGUGUAGGCGGCCCGGUAAGUCCGCUGUGAAAGUCGGGGGCUCAACCCUCGAAUGCCGGUGGAUACUGUCGGGCUAGAGUGCGGAAGAGGCGAGUGGAAUUCCUGGUGUAGCGGUGAAAUGCGCAGAUAUCAGGAGGAACACCGAUUGCGAAGGCAGCUCGCUGGGACGUAACUGACGCUGAGACGCGAAAGCGUGGGGAGCAAACAGGAUUAGAUACCCUGGUAGUUCACGCUGUAAACGAUGGGCACUAGGUGUGGGGGGUGUCGACUCCCUCCGUGCCGAAGCUAACGCAUUAAGUGCCCCGCCUGGGGAGUACGGCCGCAAGGCUA